This 406-nucleotide ribosomal RNA is filed under the name uncultured bacterium. Its description in RNAcentral is "partial 16S ribosomal RNA". It matches the Rfam family "Bacterial small subunit ribosomal RNA", at positions 30 to 526 of the family's 1533-position model. The record is from RNAcentral.
AUUGAACGCUGGCGGCAGGCCUAACACAUGCAAGUCGAGCGAGCGGCGGACGGGUGAGUAAUGUCUGGGAAACUGCCUGAUGUAGGGGGAUAACUACUGGAAACGGUCGCUAAUACCGCAUAACAUAAGAUGUGCCCAGAUGGGAUUAGCUAGUAGGUGGGGUAACGGCGCACCUAGGCGACGAUCCCUAGCUGGUCUGAGAGGAUGACCAGCCACACUGCAACGGAGACACGGUCCAGACUCCUGCGGGCGGCAGCAGUGGGGAAUAGUGCACAAUGGGAGCAAUCCUGAUGCAGCCAUGCCGCGUGUGUGAAGAAGGCCUUCGGGUUGUAAAGCACUUUCAGCGGGGAGGCGUUACCCGCAGAAGAAGCACCGGCUAACUCCGUGCCAGCAGCCGCGGUAAUUC